Molecule: ribosomal RNA, 484 nt
Filed under: uncultured bacterium
Lineage: Bacteria
Description: partial 16S ribosomal RNA
Rfam family: Bacterial small subunit ribosomal RNA
Source: RNAcentral
AUUGAACGCUGGCGGCAGGCCUAACACAUGCAAGUCGAGCGGAUGAAGGGAGCUUGCUCCUGGAUUCAGCGGCGGACGGGUGAGUAAUGCCUAGGAAUCUGCCUGGUAGUGGGGGAUAACGUCCGGAAACGGGCGCUAAUACCGCAUACGUCCUGAGGGAGAAAGUGGGGGAUCUUCGGACCUCACGCUAUCAGAUGAGCCUAGGUCGGAUUAGCUAGUUGGUGGGGUAAAGGCCUACCAAGGCGACGAUCCGUAACUGGUCUGAGAGGAUGAUCAGUCACACUGGAACUGAGACACGGUCCAGACUCCUACGAGAGGCAGCAGUGUGGAAUAUUGGACAAUAGGCGAAAGCCUGAUCCAGCCAUGCCGCGUGUGUGAAGAAGGUCUUCGGAUUGUAAAGCACUUUAAGUUGGGAGGAAGGGCAGUAAGUUAAUACCUUGCUGUUUUGACGUUACCAACAGAAUAAGCACCGGCUAACUUCGUG